CGACCACAUCAGAAUUAAACACCGGUUACCCGUACGACCACCGAAGUUAAGCAACGUCGAGCUUGGUCAGUACCUACAUGGGUGACCGCUUGCGAAUACCCGGUAUUGUAAG
Molecule: non-coding RNA, 112 nt
Organism: Acanthosepion pharaonis
Lineage: Eukaryota; Metazoa; Mollusca; Cephalopoda; Sepiida; Sepiidae
Source: the annotation of a GenBank genome assembly